This 410-nucleotide ribosomal RNA is filed under the name uncultured microorganism. RNAcentral's name for it is "bacterial SSU rRNA". It matches the Rfam family "Bacterial small subunit ribosomal RNA", at positions 509 to 917 of the family's 1533-position model. The record is from RNAcentral.
CAGCCGCCGCGGUAAUACGUAGGGUGCGAGCGUUAAUCGGAUUUACUGGGCGUAAAGCGUGCGCAGGCGGCCCGUUAAGACAGGUGUGAAAUCCCUGGGCUCAACCUAGGAAUUGCGCUUGUGACUGGCGGGCUCGAGUACGGUAGAGGGGGGUGGAAUUCCUGGUGUAGCAGUGAAAUGCGUAGAGAUCAGGAGGAACACCGAUGGCGAAGGCAGCCCCCUGGGCCUGUACUGACGCUCAUGCACGAAAGCGUGGGGAGCAAACAGGAUUAGAUACCCGGGUAGUCCACGCCCUAAACGAUGGGUACUAGCCGUUUGGUGCGCGAGAGCGCUGAGUGGCGAAGCUAACGCGUGAAGUACCCCGCCUGGGGAGUACGGCCGCAAGGUUGAAACUUAAAGGAAUUGGCGGG